Molecule: ribosomal RNA, 194 nt
Filed under: uncultured bacterium
Lineage: Bacteria
Description: partial 16S ribosomal RNA
Rfam family: Bacterial small subunit ribosomal RNA
Source: RNAcentral
CCUACGGGAGGCAGCAGUGGGGAAUCUUCCGCAAUGGACGAAAGUCUGACGGAGACGCCGCGUGAAGUGAUAGACGGCCUUCGGGUUGUAAAGCUCUGUUAAUCGGGACGAAAGGCCUUCUUGCGAAUAGUGAGAAGGAUUGACGGUACCGGAAUAGAAAGCCACGGCUAACUACGUGCCAGCAGCCGCGGUAA